This 1282-nucleotide long non-coding RNA is filed under the name Oryctolagus cuniculus (rabbit). Its description in RNAcentral is "lncRNA (ENSOCUG00000038116.1)". Lineage: Eukaryota; Metazoa; Chordata; Mammalia; Lagomorpha; Leporidae. The record is from RNAcentral.
CACCCUGGCAAAUCUCCACAUCCUGAUGUGAAAUCAGGUGCAGGCUUCUCAUCUGGUGUCCUGAGGCCCAGACGAACCUCCACAUUCAGACUGAAGGUGAGGUGCUGGCUUCUCAUCUGGUGUCCUGACACCCAGAAGAGCUCUACACUCAGACUGAAAGCCAGGUGCAGGCUUCUCAUCUGGUGUCCUGACACCCAGGCGAAGCUCCACCUUAAUAAAACAAGGGGCUGGCUUCUCAUCUGUUGUCCUGACACCCAGGUGAAACCCAACCUUCAGAUGUGAAGCAAGGGAAAGGCUUCUCAUGUGUUGUCUUGAAACCCAGCCGAGCUCCAUCUUCAGAGUGAAAGCCAGGUGCAGGCUUCUCAUCUGGUGUCCUGCCACCCACAGAGCUCCACAUUCAGACUGAAAGCCAGGUGCAGGCUUCUCAUCUGGUGGCCUAAUGCCCCAGAGAAGGUCCACCUCCAGAUGUGAAGCCAGGUGCUGGCUUCCCAUCUGGUGUCCUGACACACAGACGAAGCUCGACCUUCAGACUGAAAGCCAUGUGUAGGCUUCUCAUCUGGGGUCCUGACACCCAAGCGAAGCUCUACCUUCUUACUGGAAGCGAGGCACAGGGUUCUCAUCUGGUGUCCUGACACCCAGGCAAAGCUCCACCUUGAGACUGAAAGUGAGGUUCAGGCUUCUCAUCUGGUGUCCUGACACCCAGGCAAACCUCCAUCUUCACCUGAAAGCCAGGUGCAGGCUUCUCAUCUGGUGUCCUGACACCCUGGCAAAGCUCCACCUUCAGACUGAAAUCCAGGUGCAGGCUUCUCAUCUGGUGUCCUGACACCAAGGUGAAUCUCCUCAUACAGAUGUGAAGCUACUGGCAGGCUUCACACCUGGUGUCCUGAAACCAGGCAAAGCUCCACCUUCAGACUGAUAGCAAGGUGCAGGCUUCUCAUCUGGUGUCCAGACACCCAGGCGAAGCUUCACCUUUAGACUGAAAGCCAGGUACAGGCUUCUCAUCUGGAGUCCUGACACCAAGGUGAGCUCCACCUUCAGACUGAAAGCCAGGUGAAGACUUCUGAUCUGGUGUCCUUACACCCAGGUGAACCUCCACCUUCAGACUGAAAGUGAGGUGCAGACUUCUCUUCUGGUGUCCUGAAACCAGGCUAAGCUUCACCUCCAGACAUGAAGGCAGGUGUAGUCUUCUCACCUGGUGUCCUGUCACCCAGGCGAAACUCCACCUUCAUACGGAAAGUGAGGUGCAGGCUUCUCAUCUGGUGUCGUGACAUCCAGGUGAGCU